Molecule: non-coding RNA, 31 nt
Filed under: Mus musculus (house mouse)
Lineage: Eukaryota; Metazoa; Chordata; Mammalia; Rodentia; Muridae
Source: RNAcentral
UGGAGUGCUUACCUUCGUGUGUUCCCACAAU